Molecule: ribosomal RNA, 229 nt
Filed under: uncultured bacterium
Lineage: Bacteria
Description: partial 16S ribosomal RNA
Rfam family: Bacterial small subunit ribosomal RNA
Source: RNAcentral
UACGUAGGGGGCGAGCGUUGUCCGGAUUUACUGGGCGUAAAGCGCGUGUAGGCGGUACUCUAAGUCCGGGUGAAAUCCGGGGGCUUAACCCUCGAACAGCGCCGGAAACUGGAGCGCUUGAGUGUCGGAGAGGGGAGUGGAAUUCUCGGGUGUAGCGGUGAAAUGCGUAGAGAUCGAGAGGAACACCCGUGGCGAAGGCGGCUCCCUGGCCGAACACUGACGCUGGAGA